RNAcentral lists this unclassified non-coding RNA (327 nucleotides) under soil metagenome. RNAcentral's name for it is "partial contains 5.8S ribosomal RNA, internal transcribed spacer 2, and large subunit ribosomal RNA". The stretch from base 1 to 119 matches the Rfam family "5.8S ribosomal RNA", at positions 35 to 154 of the family's 154-position model. The record is from RNAcentral.
GAUGAAGAACGCAGCGAAAUGCGAUAAGUAAUGCGAAUUGCAGAAUCCGUGAGUCAUCGAAUCUUUGAACGCACAUUGCGCCCUCUGGUAUUCCGGGGGGCAUGCCUGUCCGAGCGUCAUUACAACCCUCAAGCUCAGCUUGGUGUUGGGGCCUGCUGCACUGGCAGCCCUUAAAAUCAGUGGCGGCGCCAUCUGGCUCUAAGCGUAGUAAUUCUUCUCGCUAUGGAGUCCUGGUGGAUGCUUGCCAUCAACCCCCAAUUUUUCUAUGGUUGACCUCGGAUCAGGUAGGGAUACCCGCUGAACUUAAGCAUAUCAAUAAGCGGAGGA